Molecule: ribosomal RNA, 433 nt
Filed under: uncultured bacterium
Lineage: Bacteria
Description: partial 16S ribosomal RNA
Rfam family: Bacterial small subunit ribosomal RNA
Source: RNAcentral
AGCGAACGCUGGCGGCAGGCCUAACACAUGCAAGUCGAACGAACUCUUCGGAGUUAGUGGCGGACGGGUGAGUAACACGUGGGAACGUGCCUUUUGGUUCGGAAUAACUCAGGGAAACUUGUGCUAAUACCGAAUGUGCCCUUCGGGGGAAAGAUUUAUCGCCAUUAGAGCGGCCCGCGUCUGAUUAGCUAGUUGGUGAGGUAACGGCUCACCAAGGCGACGAUCAGUAGCUGGUCUGAGAGGAUGACCAGCCACACUGGGACUGAGACACGGCCCAGACUCCUACGGGAGGCAGCAGUGGGGAAUCUUGCGCAAUGGGCGAAAGGCUGACGCAGCCAUGCCGCGUGAAUGAUGAAGGUCUUAGGAUUGUAAAAUUCUUUCACCGGGGACGAUAAUGACGGUACCCGGAGAAGAAGCCCCGGCUAACUUCGCG